CCUACGGGUGGCAGCAGUGGGGAAUAUUGCACAACGGGGGAAACCCUGAUGCAGCAACGCCGCGUGAGCGAAGAGGGCCUUCGGGUCGUAAAGCUCUGUUCUAUGGGAAGAAAAAUGACGGUACCAUAGGAGGAAGCCCCGGCUAACUACGUGCCAGCAGCCGCGGUAAUACGUAGGGGGCGAGCGUUGUCCGGAAUUACUGGGCGUAAAGGGUAAGUAGGCGGCUAGAUAAGUCAGAUGUGAUAGGCAUAGGCUUAACCUGUGUAAGCAUUUGAAACUGUCUAGCUGGAGUCAAGGAGAGCAAAGUGGAAUUCCAGGUGUAGCGGUGAAAUGCGUAGAUAGCAGGAGGAAUACCAGCGGCGAAGGCGGCUCUCUGGACUGUAACUGACGCUGAGGCACGAAAGCGUGGGGAGCGAACAGGAUUAGAUACCCGGGUAGUC
Molecule: ribosomal RNA, 440 nt
Filed under: uncultured bacterium
Lineage: Bacteria
Description: bacterial SSU rRNA
Rfam family: Bacterial small subunit ribosomal RNA
Source: RNAcentral